AUACGAACGAGACUCUUCCCUGCUAACCACGGUAAAAGUGCGAUGUCGUUCCUUUGGUUCGUAUCGUACUGGUCCAAAGUAGACGAUGUGAUUCUAUAUUGUUCCAACGAACGCUUUCGCGUGUUUGUUAACGCAGGCACGUGGUUGUGAUCUGGAGAGUCCAUCGAUCCUACGUAAUUACUUGAGACGGCGCUUCACGCGCGCUUAUUCGGUGCGUACUUUCUGUGUUGUCGGGGAGGUUGCGCACGCGUGCUUCUGUGCGCGUGUGUAUUCUUUCUCGGCGGGGAUGGUCCCCGAGUAACGUGCCGCGAGUUGUAUGCCUAUCUUGUAUAUUUGCGUAGGAAGUUUUCUUCUUAGAGGUAUUGACGACUCACGUUCAAAGUCGUAAGAGACAAAGAGCAAUAACAGGUGUGUGAUGCCCUUAGAUGUCCUGGGCCGCGCGCGAGCUACAAUGCCGGGUACAACGGGUAACGCAUCUUUCUCCGAAAGGAGUGGGUAACCCUUUGCACACCCUUUUUAUUUCGACGAUUCAAAAUAUUUUCUACAUAUUUUGUGUUUAUUGUCUGGCUCGCUUGGGCCUGGGGCUUGCAAUUCUUUCCCACUAACGAGGAAUGCCUUGUAGUGGCGGGUCACUGAGCUCGUGGCGACUCAGUCCCUGCCCUUUGUACACCCCGCCCGUCGCUACUACCGAUUGAGUGUACCAGUGAGAUUCUUGGACUGGCGAACCUCGUAGCUCUCUUCGGAGAGUGAAAGAGGCGUACGAUGGGAAGAGACUCGAACUGGUGCACUUAGAGGAAGUAAAA
Molecule: ribosomal RNA, 803 nt
Filed under: Paranamixis thomasi
Lineage: Eukaryota; Metazoa; Arthropoda; Malacostraca; Amphipoda; Leucothoidae
Description: partial 18S ribosomal RNA
Rfam family: Eukaryotic small subunit ribosomal RNA
Source: RNAcentral